UUUUAAAACGAUUGUUUAUUAUGAAUAGAAAAAGUUCAAUUUUUGUAAGAUAUAAUACACAAAUUCAUAGUAUCCUAACCUCUUAUUUUCCUGAUUUUAAAUUAUGAUUAAAAUUAAUGCAUAUAUAUGAACAAGUAAUCAAGAAAUAUAGUAUUCCAUACUUAAUCAUUAUAUAACUAAAACAGAUAAAGAUAAGAUACCUACUUUAAAAUCAGGACAUUUAUCUCAAAGACAGAUUUUGUUUUUAACCUUUAAUACUUAAAAUUCCACAGAAAGAGGAAUUAAAGUUAGAAAAUUUAAGAAGCUACUCAGUUCUAUAUUACUAAAUUGAGAAAAAAAUAAUAAAUAAUUGCCUCCUAUAUAAAUAGAAAUUAUUUAUCAAAUUAGAGAUAAUUUCACAUAUUAUAUCUAUUCUUUCUAAAAGAUAUAAGUUUAUGCUUUUUCUUGGCUGGUAUGAGAAAUCUAAGACUAAAC
Molecule: long non-coding RNA, 474 nt
Filed under: Bos taurus (domestic cattle)
Lineage: Eukaryota; Metazoa; Chordata; Mammalia; Artiodactyla; Bovidae
Description: long non-coding RNA NONBTAT026979
Source: RNAcentral